UACGGAGGAUGCAAGCGUUAUCCGGAAUUAUUGGGCGUAAAGCGUCCGCAGGUGGCACUUCAAGUCUGUCGUCAAAGACCGGGGCUUAACCCAGGAAAGGCGAUGGAAACUGAAAGGCUAGAGAGAGGUAGGGGUAGAGGGAAUUCCCAGUGUAGCGGUGAAAUGCGUAGAGAUUGGGAAGAACAUCGGUGGCGAAAGCGCUCUACUGGACCUCAUCUGACACUCAGGGACGAAAGCUAGGGGAGCGAAUGGG
This 253-nucleotide ribosomal RNA is filed under the name uncultured bacterium. RNAcentral describes it as "partial 16S ribosomal RNA". It matches the Rfam family "Bacterial small subunit ribosomal RNA", at positions 524 to 776 of the family's 1533-position model. The record is from RNAcentral.